UGCUUUUUAGUUUAAUAAAAACAUGGAUUUUGUAAAUCUAAAAUAAAAUAAAAGCAA
RNAcentral lists this transfer RNA (57 nucleotides) under Trichuris sp. ETH392. RNAcentral's name for it is "tRNA-Thr". The record is from RNAcentral. RNAcentral also lists the same sequence under 1 other name. Lineage: Eukaryota; Metazoa; Nematoda; Enoplea; Trichinellida; Trichuridae.